GCUGUGGCUCAGCUGCAGAGCAUCUGCUUGGUAUGCAGAUGGUCCCAGGUUCGACCCCAGCAUCACCA
This 68-nucleotide transfer RNA is filed under the name Sphaerodactylus townsendi. RNAcentral describes it as "tRNA-Thr". It matches the Rfam family "tRNA". Rfam says of the family: Transfer RNA (tRNA) molecules are approximately 80 nucleotides in length. Their secondary structure includes four short double-helical elements and three loops (D, anti-codon, and T loops). Further hydrogen bonds mediate the characteristic L-shaped molecular structure. tRNAs have two regions of fundamental functional importance: the anti-codon, which is responsible for specific mRNA codon recognition, and the 3' end, to which the tRNAs corresponding amino acid is attached (by aminoacyl-tRNA synthetases). tRNAs cope with the degeneracy of the genetic code in two manners: having more than one tRNA (with a specific anti-codon) for a particular amino acid; and 'wobble' base-pairing, i.e. permitting non-standard base-pairing at the 3rd anti-codon position. The record is from RNAcentral. Lineage: Eukaryota; Metazoa; Chordata; Lepidosauria; Squamata; Sphaerodactylidae.